This is a long non-coding RNA of Oncorhynchus tshawytscha (Chinook salmon), 919 nucleotides long. The record is from Ensembl. NCBI's taxonomy places the organism in Eukaryota, Metazoa, Chordata, Actinopteri, Salmoniformes, Salmonidae.
ACUAUCUCUCUGUAGGGGGUUAGGAUACUAUCUCUCUGUAGAGGGUUAGGAUACUAUCUCUCUGUAGAGGGUUAGGAUACUAUCUCUCUGUAGAGGGUUAGGAUACUCACUGAGGGAGAAGUGGACAGAGAGGUCCCCCGAUACCGUGCCAGAACACCAAACAUCAACAACCAUAAUGAUAAGGAUAAAGCCUAAAUUAAAGCCAGGGUUCAAGCUGGACACAUUGCCUUUGGAUGAGCUGUGAAGCAGAUUACGCUUUCUGUUUCUGAUAUUUUGACUUUGCAGAUGUUCUAUGUUAAUGUCAGCCAGUUUCAAAGUUUUUUUUUGCACGGUAAUGAUUGGCAUUGUAAAUAAUAAUGUCUUGUGGGUACUAAGUUAUUGGGCAUUCUGAAGAGGUAAUAUCAGCUGUUGGGAGUAUUUUUAAACCUGAAAUUCAGAGUAAAUGUGCAUGUUUCUGCUGUCUGUGGGAAGUCCUUCAACAUCAGCAGUUUGGAAGAUAAUGCAUCUGUAUGAACACAUUUGGUAUGUAGUGCUGUUAUUUGUUAAGUAGAGUUCUGUAAGGGGGUGAUGUGGGAUUUCACUGAAAGGUGUAACAUUUUUUACCUGCAUGAAAAAUAUCUGCUUUUAAUUUUUUUUAAAGUGAUGUUGCAAUUAAUGUUCAUUUUUUGAAAAUAUUAAUUUCUUUCUCUCUGCAUUGUUGGGAAGAGCCAUAAGCAUUUCUCUGUUAAGCAUGUGACAAAAUUAUAUUUUAUUUGAAGAGUGUUUGUCAUAGUAGCAAUUUUUUUUGACUUUUUGAAGAACCCCUUUCAUUCUCGGGGGUACACAGAAAAGGUACGGAUUAAAACCGAGGGCCGACCUCUGCCUGUCUGAGAUCAAUUUCAUGAAGAACGAUGAAAAGGUGAGGUCGUUCAAAACCAAC